This is a long non-coding RNA of Sander lucioperca (pikeperch), 1375 nucleotides long. RefSeq lists it as uncharacterized. The transcript is spliced from 3 exons. The record is from RefSeq and is a predicted model, not a curated record. NCBI's taxonomy places the organism in Eukaryota, Metazoa, Chordata, Actinopteri, Perciformes, Percidae.
GCUGUAAGAUACAGUGGUAACACAACAAAUUUAUACCAGCAUAUGAAAAUUCUGUCCUGGGUUUUAACUUAUAAUCCAAAUGUAAAAUCACAAAAACACUUGGGCUUAAGGUCAUGAAAAUUCAUCCUCCUUAAUUAUUAAAAGGUAUCGUAUCGCCGACAUUGGCCCUGUAUUUACUUGGUAUCGGAUCGAUACCAAAUAUUGCAGUAUCGCACACCACUACUUAACAUCGCUGUGCUCCCACCGAACGUACUUGUGUGCGGGAGCAGGCAGUGGACCAAACCACUGUGGAAGGAGGGGGGGACUCAAGAUGUUUUUUAAAACUUAAUUUUAGUUUGUAUUGUUUUACUACUUACACAAUUAUUUUAAUUACAUAUUAUUGCAUUAUUUACAAUACACACAGCAUGGUUUUUUUAAAAUCAUUUUUAGGAGGGGACAACCCUUAGAUGAGGUAGGUCCUGACCCCCAUCCCCCAUCCCCCAUCCCCCACCCCCCGUGAUUCACGCCUAGCAGAGAGAGGAGGCUGGAUAAGGGUUUAAUUACUUUAAUUACUAUGCUCAUUCCUUUUUUUUAAAGAACCCAAUAGGAUGGACUAGCACGUAGUUAUUUUUUUAUUUGUUGACAAUAACAAAUCAAGUCAUUGCAGCCUACUCUCAAAAACAAAAGGCAGCUUUCUUUUUAGAACAUGUUAUAAAGACUCUCAUGUUAUCAGAAGGUUAGUUGUGUAACUAGGAACACCGUCCUAAUAAUGCUUAAAAUGAGUUAGUGUUUGCCGUGAAAACGCUUGACAGGCUCGUAAUAUCCUUACUCCUCGGUGUCAUUACAGUAUAAAGUAUCUUCCCCUAUAGUCCGCGCUUCAACAGUUACAGUGGAUUUGAUGUUUAAAUGAGAAGUGUUUUUCUGUCAUGCCAGUAUACUAAAUGUUUGCAAAUGGGAGCUUCACGCAUCGAGUGUGCAGUUGUUUGAAGACGCUGUCGCUAGUCUCGUUUUAGCUUUGUGAUUCCUCCAAAAAUUAUAAGCAGGGCCCAAAUUAUUCUCCACAGCUUUGUUAUGGUCUCCAUUACUCAUUAUCACGUCUUGUGAGAUAUUUACAGUCUUGUAGAUAGAGUGUGAUAUUUAAACUUUUAGCCUUUAGAGUUUGCAAUACAGUCAUAUUAUUAUUAUUAUUACAUAUAUUACACAUUACGUAUAUUAUUAGCACAGAUAAAAGAUAAAAAAUAAUCAUAUGUUUUUUUUAAUUUACACAACAUUCCAUGAUUGGCUUACUGGCCUGUAGGUAAGGUAGCCAUCCACAGACACAUUUAAGCUUAGGGAUUGACUAAACUCAAUACUAGAUUACUAUUUUGUGUGUGUUAAUUUUUUAUGUUUUAUGUUG